Helianthus annuus (common sunflower) is the source of this 251-nucleotide long non-coding RNA. RefSeq lists it as uncharacterized. The transcript has 3 exons. The record is from RefSeq and is a predicted model, not a curated record. NCBI's taxonomy places the organism in Eukaryota, Viridiplantae, Streptophyta, Magnoliopsida, Asterales, Asteraceae.
GACGGAAACUGUCAAUGCCCCGUUUCGGAUAACCAUUUCGUUCGUUUCUUGAAAUUCUUCAUCUUUACUCGUGCGCUGUUUCAAGAAAUCCUCAUACGCAACCAAGGAUUUGAGGAUUCAAGGAAUCUAGUAGGAUUGCCUAGAAACGCAUUUAAAUUUUAAUACUUGUUAUAUUGUAAUUUACUUACAAGCCUGUUGUAUUUUGUUCCAACCUUGUAAUAAACCAUUAUCAAUAAAAUGAAAUUUAAUUA